This 1401-nucleotide long non-coding RNA is filed under the name Macaca mulatta (Rhesus monkey). RNAcentral describes it as "lncRNA (ENSMMUG00000053064.1)". Lineage: Eukaryota; Metazoa; Chordata; Mammalia; Primates; Cercopithecidae. The record is from RNAcentral.
GCAGGUAUGUCCAAUCAUAUCAUGAUUUAUUUUUUAUUGACAGAGAAGUAUAUCAGAUUAUUUCACCUUUAAACCAUUCUCAGAAAGUUUAAGCGGAAACUUUUUACAGAAUCAUACAAUUUUCAGACUAUGUGGAUUCCAAUAAAACCAGUUUGUAAAACACACCAGUGUUUACAAUUAUAGCACACAUUUAUGCAAAGCUAUUUAGUGUUGGUGAAGAAAUCCAAAUUCUUCCCAAAUUUUAUGAUUUAUUCUGAAUUCUAUUCUUUGAAUUUAAAAGGUGAAUUGACAUAUCACCUGUUUCAAUUAUCAAGUUUUUAAUGCCUUUCUGAAGUUUUAAAUAGCAUUUAAUACAAAAAUUCCAAUUUUGAAAUAAAUGUAGGUGACAAAUGAGUUUUUAAAUGAGUCAUUAGCCAAAGAAAAGAGUGGGCCCCACUUUCUUAUACACUCUGCCACAAUCAACACCAUGCACAUCUCUGGAAGCUGGGCUUUUUGUUUUUAAGCAACAUGCUGAGACCCACACCUCAUGGCCAAGCUUUUUAUCGGUUCUUUAACCUGAGGCUUGCCUUUGUCAACCCAAAGUUGCAACAGAGCAAGACGUUACUUAAUGUUACUUGUAUUUAAAUUUCAGCAUCUAUUUGCUGCCAUCAGCUAAACUGAAACUCUUCAUUUAAAACAUAGGCAGUGGUUCACGCCUGCAAUCCCAGCACUUUGGGAGGCCGAGGCGGGCAGAUCACUUGAAGCCAGGAGUUCAAGACCAGCCUGGGCAACAUAGUGAAACGCUGUCUCUACUAAAAAUACAAAAACUAGCCAUGUGUGGUGGCAGGUGCCUGCAAUCCCAGCUACUUGGGAGGCUGAGGCAGGAGAAUCACCUGAACCCAAGAGGUGGAGGUUGCAGUGAGCUAAGAUCACGCCACUGCACUCCAGCCUGGGUGACAGAGCAAGAGCACUGUCUAAAAACAAAAACAAAAACAAAAACACACAGAAGCGUUCCAACUCACUGGCCCUCCAUAAUCUAGGCCUGAUCCGGGGUGAGGCCAAGAAAAGGGGAAAUCCAUUCCAUUUUGAUCUAUUUCCAACUGCAAGACUCAAAAGUUCAAGUAAGACAGGGCACAUGGCUCAUGCCUGUACUCCCAGCACUUUGGGAGGCUGAAGCGGGCAGAUCACCUGAGGUCUGGAAUUCAAGACCAGCCUGGCCAACAUGGUAAAACUCAGUCUCUACUAAAAAUACAAAAAUUAGCUGGGAAUAGUGCCAGGUGCCUGUAAUCCCAGCUACUUAGGAGUCUGAGACAGGAGAAUCGCUUGAAGCCGGGAAGCAGAGGUUGCGGUGAGCCAAGAUCGCACCACUGCACUCCAGCCUGGGCGACAGAGCAAGACUCCAUCUCAAAAAAAAGAAAAAAA